ACAGAGGUCUCAAGCGUUGUUCGGAAUCACUGGGCGUAAAGGGUGCGUAGGUGGCGUGGUAAGUCAGAUGUGAAAGCCCGGGGCUCAACCUCGGAAUUGCAUCCGAUACUGCCGUGCUUGAGUACUGGAGAGGUGACUAGAAUUCUAGGUGUAGCAGUGAAAUGCGUAGGUAUCUAGAGGGAUACCAAAGGCGUAGGCAGGUCACUGGACAGUUACUGACACUGAGGCACGAAGGCCAGGGGAGCAAACGGGA
RNAcentral lists this ribosomal RNA (253 nucleotides) under uncultured prokaryote. RNAcentral's name for it is "partial 16S ribosomal RNA". It matches the Rfam family "Bacterial small subunit ribosomal RNA", at positions 525 to 777 of the family's 1533-position model. The record is from RNAcentral.